This 449-nucleotide ribosomal RNA is filed under the name uncultured bacterium. Its description in RNAcentral is "partial 16S ribosomal RNA". It matches the Rfam family "Bacterial small subunit ribosomal RNA", at positions 29 to 523 of the family's 1533-position model. The record is from RNAcentral.
AACGAACGCUGGCGGCAUGCCUAACACAUGCAAGUCGAACGAGAUCUUCGGGUCUAGUGGCGCACGGGUGCGUAACGCGUGGGAAUCUGCCCUUUGGUUCGGAAUAACAGUUGGAAACGACUGCUAAUACCGGAUGAUGACGAAAGUCCAAAGAUUUAUCGCCAGAGGAUGAGCCCGCGUAGGAUUAGCUAGGUGGUGUGGUAAAGGCGAACCAAGGCGACGAUCCUUAGCUGGUCUGAGAGGAUGAUCAGCCACACUGGGACUGAGACACGGCCCAGACUCCUACGGGAGUCAGCAGUGGGGAAUAUUGGACAAUGGGCGAAGGCCUGAUCCAGCAAUGCCGCGUGAGUGAUGAAGGCCUUAGGGUUGUAAAGCUCUUUUACCCGGGAUGAUAAUGACAGUACCGGGAGAAUAAGCUCCGGCUAACUCCGUGCCAGCCGCCGCAGUAA